RNAcentral lists this ribosomal RNA (522 nucleotides) under uncultured bacterium. RNAcentral's name for it is "bacterial SSU rRNA". It matches the Rfam family "Bacterial small subunit ribosomal RNA", at positions 8 to 518 of the family's 1533-position model. The record is from RNAcentral.
AGAGUUUGAUUAUGGCUCAGGAUGAACGCUAGCUACAGGCUUAACACAUGCAAGUCGAGGGGCAGCAUGGUCUUAGCUUGCUAAGGCUGAUGGCGACCGGCGCACGGGUGAGUAACGCGUAUCCAACCUUCCCCAUAGUAGGGGAUAGCCCGGCGAAAGUCGGAUUAAUACCCUAUGUUAUUCGAUGCAGACAUCUAAGUUGAAUCAAAGGUUUACCGCUAUGGGAUGGGGAUGCGUCUGAUUAGGUUGCAGGCGGGGUAACGGCCCACCUGGCCUACGAUCAGUAGGGGUUCUGAGAGGAAGGUCCCCCACAUUGGAACUGAGACACGGUCCAAACUCCUACGGGAGGCAGCAGUGAGGAAUAUUGGUCAAUGGGCGAGAGCCUGAACCAGCCAAGUAGCCGUGCAGGAUGACGGCCCUAUGGGUUGUAAACUGCUUUUAUGCGGGGAUAAAGUGAGGGACGUGUCCCUUUUUGUAGGUACCGCAUGAAUAAGGACCGGCUAAUUCCGUGCCAGCCGCCGC